RNAcentral lists this long non-coding RNA (490 nucleotides) under Chrysemys picta bellii (western painted turtle). RNAcentral describes it as "lncRNA (ENSCPBG00000021877.1)". Lineage: Eukaryota; Metazoa; Chordata; Testudines; Emydidae. The record is from RNAcentral.
CUUAUAAAUGGUGGGGAAUGACUGUCUUUGUUAUGUUCUUUGCUUAUUCAUAAAUUAAAAAGUAGGACUUCUAUGACAUUUCAUGGGUCCCUGAGAAGGUGAAGUCUUCCCAGGCAUUUUGUGAUUGACGAUAAUAAUGAGAGAGAGCGAGAGACCAUGCCGUAACUGAUGAUACAAUCCCAUCCCUGGCCUGCAUCCUUGGGAAAUAUCAGCUCUGGGAGAUGUCAGCUUGUCACCACCAGUGGCUAUUCAGCUGGAAGUCUAUAGCAGCUUGUCUUACAGGCUGUGGAACCAUGUGACUUGCUCAUGAAAACAGAAAAGAGACGUGAGGAGCAGGCGUUUGGAUGCUACAGUGAUGAAGAUGAGGGCUUCUAGGUAUUUGGACACCAAGACCUGCCCAACAAGGUUUCACACCAUCACACAGCCAACCAGUUUUGAAAGGUAAAAGACUGCUGCCUUCAUUUUGAGUAACCAGUAGACUUGCAGUGGG